GAUGAACGCUGGCGGCGUGCCUAAUACAUGCAAGUCGAGCGAACAGACGAGGAGCUUGCUCCUCUGACGUUAGCGGCGGACGGGUGAGUAACACGUGGAUAACCUACCUAUAAGACUGGGAUAACUUCGGGAAACCGGAGCUAAUACCGGAUAAUAUAUUGAAGAGCAUGGUUCAAUAGUGAAAGAUGGUUUUGCUGCAACUUAGAGAUGGAUCCGCGCCGCAUUAGCUAGUUGGUAAGGUCACGGCUUACCAAGGCAACGAUGCGUAGCCGACCUGAGAGUUUGUUCGUCCACACUUGAUCUAUUCCUCGGUCCAUACUCCUUCGGGAGGCAGCAGUAUGGAUGCCUCCGCAAUGGGCUAAAUCCUGACGUAGCAACCCCCCGUGAUUUAUGAAGUUCUUCGGAUCGUAAAACUCUGUUAUUAGGGAAGAACAAAUGUGUAAGUACCUAUGCACGUCUUGACGGUACCUAGUCAGAAAGCCACGGCUAACUACGUG
This 497-nucleotide ribosomal RNA is filed under the name uncultured bacterium. Its description in RNAcentral is "partial 16S ribosomal RNA". It matches the Rfam family "Bacterial small subunit ribosomal RNA", at positions 28 to 507 of the family's 1533-position model. The record is from RNAcentral.